CUUGAGUUAUAGGGGACUGUGAGCCACCCAGUGUGGGUGCUGAGAACUGAACUUGGGUCCCCUGGAAGGGCUGGAGGCACUCAGCCUCUGAGCCAUCUCUAUUCCUUUUGUGUUAUGCACAAAUUAUUUCAUCUUUCUCCUCCAGACUCAAAACCCUUCAGCAAUAUCUUUUCCACUGAUUGCCUCCCAGUGGGCUCUUCUUUAAAUCAAUAGGCAGAAUAAUGUCUCUAACCCUACACCAUAAAAUAUCCUUUAUGGCCAGACAGUCAGUCAAAGUAAAGAGUCCUACUGUCCUGUGCCCUUUUUCACUUUAUUCUUCAACAUACCCCAAGCUAGCAUUUAUUUCAUCUUCCCUUCACUCUGAUUCUAACUUUCCAUCAGAGUGGUCAUUAUUGUUAGUCUGGUGAUCUUCCUGCAGGUCCCAUCCUCCGUGUGCUGUCUAAGCUUCCAGAGGAGAAUGGCAGCAAUCCCUGGAUGUGGGGGAUUUGAGUUUGCACAGCCGCACUUGUUGCUGCCCUGCCCCUGACUGCCCCUCACUCAUCUUCUCCCUCUGUGGUUUCACCUCUCUCACCACAUAUCACACAUAACACACACACACAGACACACACACACACACACACACACACACACACACACACACACAUCUCCCUCUGUCAUCUUGCUAAUCUAAGUUACUGAAGUAUUUGUCUUUGCUAUCUUUUUCUAAUCCACCAAUAGAAUCAUUUUCCUUAAAUACCUAAGGUCUUGCAUAUAUUUAAUCUUUUAUGCUAGCUUUAUCUCAUGGAACCUCACACCUCUACCAAGUACCCAGUUCCUGUAUUUUGUGAAGAACUUACUUUAGGAUUUCUUAUACUCCUCUAGCCUGGUGUUUUUGAUCAGCUAAUUCUCCUAGCAGUAGAGAGAUGCCCAGGGCAUUAUGUGAUGUUUAGGAGAAGUCCUGACCUCUGUCUACAAGACAUGAGCAGCAAAUCUAUUGUAACAACAAAACUGCCUCCGGACAUUGCCAGUGUCCCCAGGUUAGCAACAGUAGACAUGAGACACAUCUUGGGAGAUUUAUAUAAUGAUCUAGAAACUGUAUCUUCAGGAAACAAUACCAGAUAUUGUUACUACGAUCUGAUUCUUAUGUAGUCUACUAGUCAAAUCUCUCUUUAAAGGUUUGCAAAAGCUAAGUCGGUUCUUAAGCCUUCAGUUCAGUCCCUCACACUACCAUUGAACUCUUCAGAUCCAGGCAUCUGCCACAUUUGAGUGUGUUACCUAUUCUUACUUACGGCUCAUAUUUAGCUUACCCAUAGCUGCCUAUGCCAGCUUCUCUCCCUCUAAUCACUAUGCCUCUCAUCUUCCUGAUUACUUAUCCUUUACUGCAAUUCAGAAUGCAAAUUUUGGUCUUCUCUACGAAUGCUCCUUUUUACUGGAGCCCCUCAAGGCCACCUUUGUAAUCCCCUUUGAACUCUUAGCCCCUUUGCCUCUUACUCAGGCUACUUAGAGCCCACUUACAGCCUAGUGUAAAAGGUUACAUGUGAUUCUUUCUUAUAUACCUUUGACUGCUUCUAUUCUAUUUGUCUUUUAAAAAAAACCCACAAAGAGAAUCAAGCUUCCCACUUAAUUUGUUGGAAUAAAGGCAAUAGCCAAAACAGGAUAUAGAAGGCAGAUAAUCCUGAAAUUCUAAUUAGGGAGAUGACUCUGCCCAAGUCUUUGAGUUUCUCUAGUUCUCAGUUGAACUCCCUUUCUAGAAUGUCUUGUUUAGUGACUUCUCCCCGCCAUCCAAAGGGCUAUUAUGAGGAUUAACAGAUGAUGGUAUUGAAACAAAAUGUCCCUUAGGGUGGAGAUGCCAGCCUCAGAGCCUGACAUCCUCCCUGAACUAGUGCUGAGAGAAGACAACCGAUUGUGAUUGUUACAAGCUGACCUUUGUCUCAAAUGUACAAGAUGGCAGGAACAUGUGUGUACAUUCAUGUACAAGUGUAGGUACACACACACACACACACAUAUCCCAAAAUCAUCACAUGUAAAUACUCAUAUUCAUGAAUUAUCUUUUGUCAGCUUUUUCCGUUCUACCACUAAUGGCACUAUGUGUCAUCAAUACACUGAAUCUUCUGAGGUCGAUUCUCUGGCUCUGCAGCAUGUUUUAUACUUGGAUAAUUUCCACUGUUUCUGUAGUAUCCCCUUCCUUCCCUGGCACCCAGUUCACCUUUAGUAUUUACGCUUGACACUUCAGAAGAAGCUCAUCUUGACUUUUACACUUCUUUCAAUUUUUCUAAAGCCUUUAAAAUAUAUUAUUCUUCCCUAGGAUAAAAAUGUAAUAGCCAAACAAUGCACAACUCUUCCAUAGCUUUAGUUGUUAAUAACUAAGCUCCCUGCAGCAACCAGAAGAGAAGAAAAAUGUUAAAUGUAGUUUUCUAGGGUUGAGGUAGAUUUCAAACCUUGGGCUGACUCACCAAAAUUUUGUCUGUUUUUCUUUUUCAAUUAUUUCACUUGUAAACUUAAGCUGACCGUGGUGCUUUGCUGCAAUCUAUUCUCAUGACUGUCACUGAGGGGUACGCUAUGUAAUGGUUCUAGAAAAUCUUCUGAAAAUGUGCUGACCUUGGACACUGUAAUUUCCCCACCAUGGUGUGUCUCUUCAGGGAAAUACUUCUGAAGCUAAGAGAAAUGAAGCCUACAGGAAUCACGUAUAGAGGAACAGAAUCUUAAGUAACAGCACAUCUGAGGAUGUUGAAGAAGCAUGGUGGCUGCCAGAUUGAUGGAUGAG
Molecule: long non-coding RNA, 2743 nt
Organism: Grammomys surdaster
Lineage: Eukaryota; Metazoa; Chordata; Mammalia; Rodentia; Muridae
Exons: 3
Source: RefSeq, a predicted model, not a curated record